GGGGGCGCCAUGGUUUCGACGGGGACGGUUGAAGCCAGGGUUGCAGGCCGAGGUGCUGCGGGGACCUCGUAAAACACGCAGCAACAAAACAAAUGCCAACGAUUACGAAUACGCAAUGGCUGCUUAAUUUUUAGCCACGCUUCUCUGGCUGAUGCCUGAUAGGCUGGAAGAAGCGACGACGCAUCAGGCUGGCCUCCAGAUUGAGUCUGACAACUCAGGAGGUGAGAACCUCUUCAGACUGGUUUUCAGGAUGCCUGACCAGGGGCUUACCUGAAAACGAGACUCUAAACCUGGUCUAAGCCUGUAGAAGCCUUGAGCGGAGCGUUCUCGGACGGGGGUUCGACUCCCCCCGCCUCCACCA
This 361-nucleotide small RNA is filed under the name Desulfonauticaceae. RNAcentral describes it as "Desulfovulcanus sp913055195 Standard tmRNA". It matches the Rfam family "transfer-messenger RNA". From Rfam's summary of the family: Bacterial tmRNA, also known as 10Sa RNA or SsrA, is named for its dual tRNA and mRNA-like properties. Its role is to liberate the mRNA from a stalled ribosome. Lineage: Bacteria; Pseudomonadati; Thermodesulfobacteriota; Desulfovibrionia; Desulfovibrionales. The record is from RNAcentral.